This 492-nucleotide ribosomal RNA is filed under the name uncultured bacterium. Its description in RNAcentral is "partial 16S ribosomal RNA". It matches the Rfam family "Bacterial small subunit ribosomal RNA", at positions 29 to 507 of the family's 1533-position model. The record is from RNAcentral.
AGUGAACGCUGGCGGUAGGCCUAACACAUGCAAGUCGAACGGCAGCACAGUAAGAGCUUGCUCUUACGGGUGGCGAGUGGCGGACGGGUGAGGAAUACAUCGGAAUCUACUUUUUCGUGGGGGAUAACGUAGGGAAACUUACGCUAAUACCGCAUACGACCUACGGGUGAAAGCAGGGGUUCUUCGGACCUUGCGCGAUUGAAUGAGCCGAUGCCGGAUUAGCUAGUUGGCGGGGUAAAGGCCCACCAAGGCGACGAUCCGUAGCUGAUCUGAGAGGAUGAUCAGCCACACUGGAACUGAGACACGGUCCAGACUCCUACGGGAGGCAGCAGUGGGGAAUAUUGGACAAUGGGCGCAAGCCUGACGCAGCCACACCGCGUGAGUGAUGAAGGCCUUCGGGUUGUAAAACCCUGUUGUUGGGAAAGAAAAGAAGCGGAUUUAACCCCGGACGUUCUGACGGUACCCAAUGAAAAAGCACCGGCUAACUUCGUG